AGCGAACGCUGGCGGCAGGCUUAACACAUGCACGUCGAGCGGGCGUAGCAAGACGUCAGCGGCAGACGGGUGAGUAACACGUGGGAACGUACCUUUUGGUUCGGAACAACGGAGAGAAACUCCAGCUAAUACCGGAUACGCCCUAACGGGGAAAGAUUUAUCGCCGAAAGAUCGGCCCGCGUUGGAUUAGCUAGUUGGCGAGGUAAUGGCUCACCAAGGCGACGAUCCAUAGCUGGUCUGAGAGGAUGAUCAGUCACGUUGGGACUGAGACACGGCCCAAACUCCUACGAGAGGCAGCAGUGGGGAAUAUUGGACAAUGGGCGCAAGCCUGAUCCAGCCAUGCCGCGUGAGUGAUGAAGGCCUUAGGGUUGUAAAGCUCUUUCACCGAUGAAGAUAAUGACGGUAGUCGGAGAAGAAGCCCCGGCUAACUUCGUGCCAGCCGCCGCCGUAA
RNAcentral lists this ribosomal RNA (451 nucleotides) under uncultured bacterium. RNAcentral's name for it is "partial 16S ribosomal RNA". It matches the Rfam family "Bacterial small subunit ribosomal RNA", at positions 29 to 523 of the family's 1533-position model. The record is from RNAcentral.